This 640-nucleotide ribosomal RNA is filed under the name uncultured Ilumatobacter sp. RNAcentral's name for it is "bacterial SSU rRNA". It matches the Rfam family "Bacterial small subunit ribosomal RNA", at positions 232 to 885 of the family's 1533-position model. Lineage: Bacteria; Bacillati; Actinomycetota; Acidimicrobiia; Acidimicrobiales; Ilumatobacteraceae. The record is from RNAcentral.
CGCGGCCUAUCAGCUUGUUGGAGAGGUAACGGCUCACCAAGGCAUCGACGGGUAGCUGGUCUGAGAGGAUGAUCAGCCACACUGGGACUGAGACACGGCCCAGACUCCUACGGGAGGCAGCAGUGGGGAAUCUUGCACAAUGGGCGCAAGCCUGAUGCAGCAACGCCGCGUGCGGGAUGACAGCCCUAGGGUUGUAAACCGCUUUCAGCAGGGAAGAAACUGACGGUACCUGCAGAAGAAGGUGCGGCCAACUACGUGCCAGCAGCCGCGGUGACACGUAGGCACCAAGCGUUAUCCGGAUUUAUUGGGCGUAAAGAGCUCGUAGGCGGUCCGGUAAGUCGGGUGUGAAAACUCUGGGCUCAACCCAGAGAGGCCACUCGAUACUGCUGUGACUAGAGUGCGGUAGGGGAGCGGGGAAUUCCUGGUGUAGCGGUGAAAUGCGCAGAUAUCAGGAGGAACACCAGUGGCGAAGGCGCCGCUCUGGGCCGUAACUGACGCUGAGGAGCGAAAGCAUGGGUAGCAAACAGGAUUAGAUACCCUGGUAGUCCAUGCCGUAAACGUUGGGCACCAGGUGUGGGUCUCAACCAACGAGAUCCGCGCCGUCGCUAACGCAUUAAGUGCCCCGCCUGGGGGAGUACGG